CCUACGGGAGGCAGCAGUGGGGAAUUUUGGACAAUGGGCGCAAGCCUGAUCCAGCCAUGCCGCGUGAGUGAAGAAGGCCUUCGGGUUGUAAAGCUCUUUCGGCCGGGAAGAAAUCGCAUUGGUUAAUACCUGGUGUGGAUGACGGUACCGGAAUAAGAAGCACCGGCUAACUACGUGCCAGCAGCCGCGGUAAUACGUAGGGUGCGAGCGUUAAUCGGAAUUACUGGGCGUAAAGCGUGCGCAGGCGGUUUUGUAAGACAGGCGUGAAAUCCCCGGGCUCAACCUGGGAACUGCGCUUGUGACUGCAAGGCUAGAGUACGGCAGAGGGGGGUGGAAUUCCACGUGUAGCAGUGAAAUGCGUAGAGAUGUGGAGGAACACCAAUGGCGAAGGCAGCCCCCUGGGUCGAUACUGACGCUCAUGCACGAAAGCGUGGGUAGCAAACAGGAUUAGAUACCCUGGUAGUCCACGCCCUAAACGAUGUCAACUAGGUGUUGGGAGGGUAAAACCUUUUAGUACCGGAGCUAACGCGUGAAGUUGACCGCCUGGGGAGUACGGCCGCAAGGUUAAAACUCAAAGGAAUUGACGGGGACCCGCACAAGCGGUGGAUGAUGUGGAUUAAUUCGAUGCAACGCGAAAAACCUUACCUACCCUUGACAUGUCAGGAAGCCACGAGAGAUCGAGGUGUGCUCGAAAGAGAACCGUAACACAGGUGCUGCAUGGCUGUCGUCAGCUCGUGUCGUGAGAUGUUGGGUUAAGUCCCGCAACGAGCGCAACUCUUGUCAUUAGUUGCUACAUUUAGUUGGGCACUCUAAUGAGACUGCCGGUGACAAACCGGAGGAAGGUGGGGAUGACGUCAAGUCCUCAUGGCCCUUAUAGGUAGGGCUACACACGUCAUACAAUGGAUGGUACAAAGGGUCGCCAACCCGCGAGGGGGAGCCAAUCCCAUAAAGCCAUUCGUAGUCCGGAUCGCAGUCUGCAACUCGACUGCGUGAAGUCGGAAUCGCUAGUAAUCGUGGAUCAGCAUGUCACGGUGAAUACGUUCCCGGGCCUUGUACACA
Molecule: ribosomal RNA, 1059 nt
Filed under: uncultured Dechloromonas sp.
Lineage: Bacteria; Pseudomonadati; Pseudomonadota; Betaproteobacteria; Rhodocyclales; Azonexaceae
Description: bacterial SSU rRNA
Rfam family: Bacterial small subunit ribosomal RNA
Source: RNAcentral